Molecule: ribosomal RNA, 551 nt
Filed under: uncultured archaeon
Lineage: Archaea
Description: bacterial SSU rRNA
Rfam family: Archaeal small subunit ribosomal RNA
Source: RNAcentral
GGGCGCACCAGGCGCGAAAACUUUACAAUGCUGGAAACAGCGAUAAGGGGACCUCGAGUGCCAGGUUACAAAUCUGGCUGUCGUGAUGCCUAAAAAGCAUUGCAUAGCAAGGGCCGGGCAAGACCGGUGCCAGCCGCCGCGGUAACACCGGCGGCUCGAGUGGUAACCGUUAUUAUUGGGUCUAAAGGGUCUGUAGCCGGCCGGAUAAGUCUCUUGGGAAAUCCAGCAGCUCAACUGUUGGGCUUUCAGGAGAUACUGUCUGGCUCGAGGCCGGGAGAGGUGAGAGGUACUUCAGGGGUAGGGGUGAAAUCUUGUAAUCCUUGAAGGACCACCAGUGGCGAAGGCGUCUCACCAGAACGGACCUGACGGCAAGGGACGAAAGCUAGGGGCACGAACCGGAUUAGAUACCCGGGUAGUCCUAGCCGUAAACGAUACUCGCUAGGUGUCGGCCACGGUGCGACCGUUGUCGGUGCCGUAGGGAAGCCGUGAAGCGAGCCACCUGGGAAGUACGGCCGCAAGGCGGAAACUUAAAGGAAUUGGCGGGGGAGCAC